AUUGAACGCUGGCGGCAUGCCUUACACAUGCAAGUCGAACGGCAGCAUGGGUGCUUGCACCUGAUGGCGAGUGGCGAACGGGUGAGUAAUGCAUCGGAACGUACCCGGAAGUGGGGGAUAACGUAGCGAAAGUUACGCUAAUACCGCAUAUUCUGUGAGCAGGAAAGCGGGGGAUCGCAAGACCUCGCGCUUCCGGAGCGGCCGAUGUCGGAUUAGCUAGUUGGCGGGGUAAAGGCCCACCAAGGCAACGAUCCGUAGCGGGUCUGAGAGGAUGAUCCGCCACACUGGGACUGAGACACGGCCCAGACUCCUACGGGAGGCAGCAGUGGGGAAUUUUGGACAAUGGGCGCAAGCCUGAUCCAGCCAUGCCGCGUGAGUGAAGAAGGCCUUCGGGUUGUAAAGCUCUUUCGGCCGGGAAGAAUCGUAUGGGUUAAUACCCUGUGCGGAUGACGGUACCGGCAUAAGAAGCACCGGCUAACUACGUGCCAGCAGCCG
RNAcentral lists this ribosomal RNA (495 nucleotides) under uncultured bacterium. Its description in RNAcentral is "bacterial SSU rRNA". It matches the Rfam family "Bacterial small subunit ribosomal RNA", at positions 29 to 517 of the family's 1533-position model. The record is from RNAcentral.